UACGAGGACCCCAAGCGUUAUCCGGAAUUACUGGGCGUAAAGCGUGAGCAUCCGGUUUUGCUAGUCUCAUGUUAAAUCUCAUUGCUCAACGAUGAGACCGCGUGGGAAACGGCAAGACUAGAGUGGGUAAGAGGUAAGCGGAACGUGCAGUGUAGGGGUGAAAUCCAUUGAUAUUGCACGGAACACCAAAAGCGAAAGCAGCUUACUAGUGCUCUACUGACGGUCAAUCACUAAAGCGUGGGGAUCAAAAAGG
RNAcentral lists this ribosomal RNA (253 nucleotides) under uncultured bacterium. RNAcentral's name for it is "partial 16S ribosomal RNA". It matches the Rfam family "Bacterial small subunit ribosomal RNA", at positions 524 to 776 of the family's 1533-position model. The record is from RNAcentral.